Molecule: long non-coding RNA, 739 nt
Organism: Gambusia affinis (western mosquitofish)
Lineage: Eukaryota; Metazoa; Chordata; Actinopteri; Cyprinodontiformes; Poeciliidae
Exons: 4
Source: RefSeq, a predicted model, not a curated record
GUUCUUGCUGUCUGUUUACCAUUAAACUCGCCGAGCAGCGCUAAGAGCCGGUGUAGCUCACUCUUCGGAAAGUUAAACGUCAUUUCUCAAACAAUCAACUAGUGUUAAGAAGCUAAGACAGCUAGUUAGCCUCGUAGCAAUGCCACCAGCGAUGCCAGAGCUUUGAAGUGAGAAUCUCAUUCAUGUUGGCCUGCAAAAGACGGUUGGGGGAUGGGUACAGCAACAAACUCCACAGCCACACAAGACGGGCCUGCGUGCAACAACACUUUCAACACAAGCGUAAUUUAUACACUUAGAGAAAACUCCUGCGAAAGCAACACCAACUUUCCUAAUGAAUACGCCCGACAUAAACCGGCUGAUGUAACAUCAAAAGAAACAAGAAAGCAACGGCACACUUUCCACUCCAGCAGCUGCAGCAGCAGCGGCGGCAGAAGCAGCUAGCUUCGCUUCUUAGCUAGUUUGUUAGCUUCCGAAGCUAGAUGGGAAGUCAUUUAGGAGCCAAUGUCCACACAGGCAGAGACGCUGGCAGGACCGAAAGAGCACGCCGCUGCCGCAGCUCGAACAUCCUCCCUGUCACUCUCCUCCGCCGUCAGUCAUCCAGGAGCUGAUCGUCCCAGCCGGCCCAGGUGACGUGACGAACCGACGGUUACCUGACCAGCUGCAGGUUCUGCACCCAGCGGUUGAACCGAGAGAGGCAAAUCUGAAGGGGAACCCCGGCUUCUACUUGCACCUAUUUAGC